GACAGAGGGUGCAAACGUUGUUCGGAAUUACUGGGCGUAAAGCGCGUGUAGGCGGCCCGGCAAGUCGGGUGUGAAAUCCCACGGCUCAACCGUGGAAGUGCAUUCGAAACUGCAGGGCUAGAGUCCUGGAGAGGAAGGUGGAAUGCUUGGUGUAGAGGUGAAAUUCGUAGAUAUCAAGCGGAACACCGGUGGCGAAGGCGGCCUUCUGGACAGUGACUGACGCUGAGACGCGAAAGCGUGGGGAGCAAACAGG
Molecule: ribosomal RNA, 253 nt
Filed under: uncultured bacterium
Lineage: Bacteria
Description: partial 16S ribosomal RNA
Rfam family: Bacterial small subunit ribosomal RNA
Source: RNAcentral